CCUACGGGGGGCAGCAGUGGGGAAUAUUGGACAAUGGGGGCAACCCUGAUCCAGCCAUGCCGCGUGUGUGAAGAAGGCCCUCGGGUUGUAAAGCACUUUCAGUGAGGAAGAACGCCUGGUGGUUAAUACCCAUCAGGAAAGACAUCACUCACAGAAGAAGCACCGGCUAACUCCGUGCCAGCAGCCGCGGUAAUACGGAGGGUGCGAGCGUUAAUCGGAAUUACUGGGCGUAAAGCGCGCGUAGGUGGCUUGAUAAGCCGGUUGUGAAAGCCCCGGGCUCAACCUGGGAACGGCAUCCGGAACUGUCAAGCUAGAGUGCAGGAGAGGAAGGUAGAAUUGCCGGUGUAGCGGUGAAAUGCGUAGAGAUCGGGAGGAAUACCAGUGGCGAAGGCGGCCUUCUGGACUGACACUGACACUGAGGUGCGAAAGCGUGGGUAGCAAACAGGAUUAGAUACCCUUGUAGUC
RNAcentral lists this ribosomal RNA (465 nucleotides) under Vreelandella stevensii. RNAcentral's name for it is "partial 16S ribosomal RNA". It matches the Rfam family "Bacterial small subunit ribosomal RNA", at positions 338 to 795 of the family's 1533-position model. Lineage: Bacteria; Pseudomonadati; Pseudomonadota; Gammaproteobacteria; Oceanospirillales; Halomonadaceae. The record is from RNAcentral.